AACAUGAACAGCGGUUUCAGUCUGUGGAUGUGAGGUGGGUUGCAACCAACGUUCUGUGUCGGUCUAUGCUGCUGCACAUGCGCUGAACGGACGACGCGGAAAACAUUGAGGGAUUACCAAAGACAUGGCGGCCAACAUCGAGCAAAUUUUUCGCGAUUUCGUAGUAAAUAAGAUAAAAGAAAUUGAAGAUGAGAGUCAAGAUAUCAUUCUGACAGAUGAAGGCCAUCCCAAUGGUAAAACUGCAGAAGGAGCAGAUGGGAUCAACAACACACAAGAUAAAGAUGGUGUAGCCAAUAAGGAAGAGGGUGCUGUCCCACAAAAGAAACAUAAGAAGCACAAGAAACACAAGAAACACAAAAGCAAAAAGAAGAAACGUAAGGAAGAGAAAGAGAGCGGCUCAGAAUCAGCAGCAGACUCUGAUGGAGACAAGGCAAAGACUGGGGAAGAGGAUGACGGGAGAUCCAAGCGGCAUAAACGACAUUCUGGGAAGAAGAAGAAAAAAAAGCCGAAGAAAGAUGGUGACAAGUCCAACAGCUCAUCUGGGUCGGAGUCCGAGUCGAAGCCUCUGCCUGGGAACAAGGAGAGCAAACCUCAGGAUCUGCCUGAUAUCAUCCCUAAACUAGAGGAGAAGUGUCAGGAAAAGUCCUCCUCCAGAUGCUCACGGUCUCGUUCAGGCAAGCGCAGGUCCAGGGACAGGAGAGGGAGAUCCAGAUCGAGGUCUGGUAGAAGACGUGGCGGACACACACGUUCCAGAUCACGGCACCGGAGGUCCGGGUCACAUUCUCGAAGGUCUGGGUCUGCCAGGAGAGGCAGGAGAACCCGGUCAAGGUCCCUCGUGAUCUUGAAGAAAGACAGACGGUCUAGAUCGAGAUCCAGAAGGCGAUCAAAAUCUAAGACGAGAUCUCAGUCAAGACACCGAGAGAUGAUUUCAGGAUCUCCCUCUCCGUCCAGAAACGACAAAUCCAAAUCCAGGUCUGCCUCAAGAGACAGCCAAUCAGCCGAGAAGGAUCCCUCUGCGGCCCUGGCUAAAGAUGAGUCCGCUGUGAAAGAUGAAAACGUAAUGGUUCCAAUCGAUCCGCCAGCCCUAGCUUCCGAAAGCAGCAUUGAGGGUGUCGUCAAUAUGGCCGCCCCCACUGGAGGAGGGUGGAAGCCAAUACCCUUCUUAGGGGACAGCAGUAAGGGAGAGCCAGCUGUUUCCUCCCAGCCCUCAGAAUGUCUGAUGUCUCCACAGAAGUGCCCUAUUCCUCCCGAGGUGCCUUCGGGUGAGCAGCAUGAGGCCUCCACUGACCACCAGUCAAUGUCAGCAUCUGAUCUGAACCUCAACAGCCAGCCAACUGGUGAGCCAGGGGAAUCGGAUGGACUUGUUACUUCAGACACCUUUGAUGGCUCUGUAGAUUCCUUACCCCCCAAAACGGAUGCUGAUGGAGGGGACAAGGUGACAACUCGGGGUGAAGAGCUGCCUGCUUCACCUCAACCUAAACCACAGCCAACAUCUGGAGAGGCAGAUAUGACAGAGAAGGAAGGAGAAUCUUCAAAGUCCAGGUCUCCUUCAAAGAGGAAAAAGUCAAGGUCAAAGUCUCCUGAUCAGAAGAAACGCUCUGAUGCAAAGUCCUCCAAGAAGAGGAGGUCCAGAUCCAAGUCUCCAGGGAGGAAAAGGAAAUCAAGGUCCUCGUCGCCAAGCCGCAAGAGGAAGUCCAGGACUCCGUCUCGGAGGAAGAGGUCUCGCUCAAAGUCCGGGACGAGAAAGAAGAAAUCACGGUCCAAAUCCAGAACGCGGAACAAGCGCUCAAAGUCUAGGUCGCCGAAAAGGAAACGGUCCAAGUCACGGUCUCCUGCUCGGAGGUCAAAGAGAUCGAGGUCACGCUCUGGUUCGCGGCGAAGGGGUAGGGGUGCAUUCGGCAGCCACCAGCUGAGCCAGAGGGACCGCUGGAAGCGUGAGCCAAGCCACUCCCCAGUCCUCAUCCUCCGCAAGAAGAGGUCUCCGGCACGCACCAACCGCGACUCCAGCAAAAGCCCGCCACGACUCACAGAGCUGGAUAAAGACCAGUUACUGGAGAUUGCUAAGGCUAAUGCAGCCGCCAUGUGUGCCAAGGCCGGGAUACCCAUCCCAGAGAGCCUGCGACCCAAAGCUGUCCUCCAGCUGCCUUUACCCAGCCCCAACAACCCCAUGUCCUUCUCCAUGCCCAUGAAUAUGAACAUGCCCAUGAACAUGUCUAUGAACAUGCCUAUGAGCAUGACCAUGAAUGCAGCUAUGGCUAGCAUGACAGCUGCCACAAUGACUGCUGCCCUGGCCAGUAUGGGAUCUAUGGCCUCCAUGCACCAGAUGGCUCCGCUCCCCAGCAUCACCAACAAGCCCCCGCCAGGUCCCCCCCAGCCCAACAUGGCCACCAUCGAGGAUGUGAAGAGGAAGGUGGCCAAACAGGCAAACAGCAUCAGCAUCAAGGAGUUCACUGACAAGUGUAAGAAGAUUGUGGAGAAGGGAGGGGAGCUGGCCCUCGCUGAACCCCGUAUAUCUGACGACGAGGACGACGGCAAACCGUUUGGACGAGCCGCCCUGAGGGAGGUCAAGGGCAUCUCCUUCAGCCUCAAUAACGCAUCCGUGCGUCCAUCACCGGCGUUGGCGGUUCGGAGCGAGGCGGCGUUCGCCAAGGAGUUCCCCGUGUCAUCGGGCUCCCAGCACAGGAAGAAGGAGGGCGACGGGGGAGGGGCUUACGGAGAGUGGGUGACCGUUGACAAGAAGGCGGAAAAGGCCAAGGUGGCGGCGACCAAGGCAUUGGCAACGGCUGCUAAGGAAACUUCGCCUGGGGAUGCACCUUUGUCUGCGGUGUCCGUGGCAACGGAGGAGCCGGCGGUCGUCAAGGAGAGUGAUAGUGUGUUCCCGGAGCCGCCGCUACAGCCUGUAGACAUCACCCAGGCAGUCGGUGAGAGGAUGAAGGCCCAGAAGCGUCUGGCUGAGAACCCGCACGACGUCAGUGCCAUCUGCAUGCUCAGCCGUGCUCAGGAACAGGUGGAUGCAUGGGCCCAGUCCAACACCAUCCCUGGUCUGUUUACAGGUUCUACUGGAGCAACGGUGCUCAGCUCAGAGGAGCUGUCCAACAGCGGACCACAGGCCUGGAUUAAAAAGGUACCGUCCACUGUCUUACCUGCUCCCCACCCCAAACAUGCUACCCUACAGGUGUCUGCAUCGCCCAUGCCCACUGGUGUACCCACUUCACACGCCUUCCUCAGCCUGCUCCCUAAUCACCACCCAGCCCUAAUUAAAUAACUGAAUGGCUGUACGCAUAGUGCCAGAGACAUACUGUAUAAAGUUUGACAAGUGUUCUGUUGAUGUAGAACAAACUGGGUUAGAAUGGAGUAGUUCCACUGUUACUCAGUGGAAUCCAGGUCGGUUUUAAGGGCCCAGAAACGUGAGGUUCACUGCUACCAUGGCAACCCUUGUCAGCGCUAAUGCACAUAGUUUACUGAUGUGUGUGUGAGUGAGCAUCUGUUGUCUGUAUUGUGUGUUUCUGUCUGCGUCAGAAAAAGCUGCUCUGGCGGUGAAGGAAGCCUCUUGUUUAUGUUGCCUGAUAUUUGCACUGCAGUUUGUAACAAUGGUAACAUAUGAACCCAGACUUUAAUCUUUAAUCUGACAUACAGAGAUUAACAAACAUCUCCCUGCUCUUCAAUCACCCCCCACCCCUCCCCCGCAACACACACACACAUUCUGACUAAUUACAUUUCCUGUGAAGUGGGUACACCAUGUUAAGGGUAGUGAUGCAGAUUCCUUACAUGUGACAUUCUUACCAAAGCAGGUGCAAAUGCAGUACUGACACCCGGCUACUAGUGGUGCGCUGGUCUGACACCCGGCUACUAGUGGUGCGCUGGUCUGACACCCGUCUACUAGUGGUGCGCUGGUCUGACACCCGGCUACUAGUGGUGCUCUGGUCUGACACCCGGCUACUAGUGGUGCUCUGGUCUGACACCCGGCUACUAGUGGUGCUCUGGUUUGUCCACUAAAUAGAGUCCCCCUCGGAGUCGGAAAAGGGACUAGGAGAAUGAGGGGGGGGGGGGGGGGGGGGGGAGGAGAGCUGGAAGUAAGUCUGCAGACCCCAGAACCCCCCCCUUGUCCUCUAGCACCCCAGGGCAAGGCAGAGAUUAUGGGCCCGUCUCAGUAGUCUAAAGAUGCUUCCUCGUCUCUUUCCUUGGAUUCACACUGAUGUCAGAACAGGGGAAAGGGAAAAGCACUAUUCUUUCACCUAUCCUGCCUUUUCAGAUCAGGUCAGAUGUUAUUGGGGACGUUAGGUGAGGAAGUGACUUUAGACUAUUCAGAUGCACCCCAAGACCGGUUACUAUAGUCUCUACCGUCACGCUGUCUCCCUAAUGCAGUGUCUCCCUAUCACUCCCCCACACCCAGUCACACAGAAUGUCAUCAGGCCCAGAGAUAACCAUAGUCGUUUGUUCUCUGUCUGUGGACCCCGUCUGAACUCUCCUACCCUGUAGUGUUUCUAUAGUGGGCUGUUUGAAGCCAGUGGGUGUAACUACCCCAAGUCUCCCUGAGCUCUGCAAACACACAGAGACAGGGGGCUACUGUUUUAAACGACAUCCUGAGGAAUCUCUCUCUCAGGAUAGGUUACACAUAGUCACAUCAUUUAGCUAUAGAGAGAGUGAUGGAUCUGCUGAGUUCAUUCUUCAUUUAAUGACACAUCCUUCACAUGCAGAUGCUAUGGGCAGAUGCCAUGGAUAUAUGCUGUGGACAUGUUCAGAGACAUGAUAUAGGGAUGAGAGUGCAUUGAUCAUACUAAUGUUAGUGACAUGCAUUUUGCUAGCAUUACAGCAGCUAACAUUGAUUUACAGCACGCUAGCAUUACAGCAGCUCCCAUUGAUUUACAGCACGCUAGCAUUACAGCAGCUCCCAUUGAUUUACAGCACGCUAGCAUUACAGCAGCUCACAUUGAUUUACAGCACGCUAGCAUUACAGCAGCUCACAUUGAUUUACAGCACGCUAGCAUUACAGCAGCUGACAUUGAUUUACAGCACGCUAGCAUUACAGCAGCUGACAUUGAUUUACAGCACGCUAGCAUUACAGCAGCUGACAUUGAUUUACAGCACACUAGCAUUACAGCAGCUGACAUUGAUUUACAGCACGCUAGCAUUACAGCAGCUGACAUUGAUUUACAGCACGCUAGCAUUACAGCAGCUGACAUUGAUUUACAGCAGCUGACAUUGAUUUACAGCACGCUAGCAUUACAGCAGCUGACAUUGAUUUACAGCACGCUAGCAUUACAGCAGCUGACAUGGAUUUACAGCACGCUAGCAUUACAGCAGCUGGACUGUGAUGUUUGUGUGGUUGUUGGGUGCCCCUAGCAACCAGUCCUGGUGCAUUCUGUUUCCCAGUAGAUGAGCAGGGUCUAGUUUUAGACCAGUCAGUGGUCUCCAACCCUAGUCCAGGCUGAGAUAUAGAGUCAUAAAGUCGUAUAGGUUAGGGCUAUAACAAAAACCUGCACACUAGCUCCAGGAUCUCAAUUGGAGACUACUACCUGAAGGAGAUCUCUGGUCUGAGGGACCUAGGCUAGUUACAGGUGUCCAUGGACAUGCCUGUGCUCUUUCCCUUGCCCUGGGGGAGGCUGCGGUCAGAAGUUGCUCCUAGUCACCAGUCUAGAAUCAGCGUCCCUUCCGCAAAUCCUAACUCCAAGCUGACCUAGGUGUCUAGGGGCAACUUCCUCCCAGUCCUUGGGGCAGCCUGAGGAAGGGGGUCGAUAAGAGGGGUCUGGAUUGGAGCAGAGGGAGAGAGGUGUGGGUUCACAGGGGUGACCUGUGAACUUUCACCUCUCUGUGUAUUGGACACUUGUUUCAGGGUCAGUCCUUGUAGCUGUCCUUGUUGCCAUGGCCACAGUCAGGCCCCCCUCUCAUUUCCUGUUUGAUGCUGGGCCGGUGAUGAGGGGCUAGGACCAGUUCUUGCGAGCAGCCCCGGUGUCGGGAGGAGUAGGGGAGUUUCUCAUGAGAAAGAUGGGAUGGCGGACAGGGGAGGGGCUAGGGCGACACCGCGAGGGCACCGUCGAGCCAAUCAUCAUCGACUUCAAGACCGACCGCAAAGGUCUGGUGGCUGAGGGAGAGAAGACUCAGAAGUCGGGCGGUAUGGUUGUGAUGAAGGAUCUACUGGGUAAGCACCCAGUGUCUGCUCUGAUGGAGAUGUGCAACAAGAAGAAGUGGAUUCCUCCAGAGUUUGUUAUGGUGACCCACAGUGGCCCAGACCACCGUGGUGGUAAAUGGUCAAGACUUCCAGCCUGCGUCAGCCAGUCCCAAUAAGAAGCAUGCCAAAGCCAUGGCUGCUACGGUGGCUCUGCAGGCCAUGGGAGAGGUGGCAGGGGACACCGGGCUUUAUACAGGGCCUGUGUUCACCACUGCUACCACUGGCCCACUGUUCUCCUCCAACGUCUAACACACACAGUGAAACACACUCAGACUGAGAUACAGCGCUCGCACACACAGGAGAAAAAAUGACUUGAGUCGCAGACUCUUCUGGCUGAAAAGGACAUAGAAUUUGAAGUCACCCGCCAGGGAGCGAUGAUUUGUAUUGGAAUGUCCGUUCUAUCAAGUCUAAUGUUUUCGGCCUACACACCACAAGCAUUCAGAAGAACCGUAUCUGCUGCCUAAUGGUCAACACUAGGAGAUGGUGUUACUCUGGAAGCAAAAUAAACUUACUGAUAUUUUAAAACGGUUCCGUAACGUUUUUUUUAUCCUAAUUUGAAUGUUUAUCUUAUGUGUUGAAGCUCAAAUGAUGUUUUCAAGAAGCAGUUCAUAGUGUUAAUGCAUUUGGGAGAAUUUGAAAAACCCCACUAUUCUCCUCGUGACCAAAUCGUCAAUAUCAAAUGUUACCCAUUUGGAACAUUCAUUUUCAAAGUGAUUCACACUUGAUAGUUCUCAUUUUGGACAGAUUAAUUUACUACUGUCUAGGUUGAGCGAUCAGUCCGCUUUUGUUGGUAACGUUAUUUACAAUGUUUGUAUAAAAACAAAUGUAACGUGUUAGCUGAAAGCGAUGUGGGUAACCGUAUGAGUUAUGGUCUGGAAUACAAAAAUAAAAAUGUUUUUAUCUGACUAAUUAAAUGAUAAUCCUUU
Oncorhynchus kisutch (coho salmon) is the source of this 7095-nucleotide RNA transcript. It is a transcript of the gene named protein SON, with no coding region annotated. The record is from RefSeq and is a predicted model, not a curated record. The transcript has 13 exons. NCBI's taxonomy places the organism in Eukaryota, Metazoa, Chordata, Actinopteri, Salmoniformes, Salmonidae.